UACGUAGGGUGCGAGCGUUACUCGGAAUUACUGGGCGUAAAGCGCGCGCAGGCGGCUUUGCAAGACAGAUGUGAAAUCCCCGGGCUCAACCUGGGAACUGCAUUUGUGACUGCAAGGCUAGAGUACGGCAGAGGGGGAUGGAAUUCCGCGUGUAGCAGUGAAAUGCGUAGAUAUGCGGAGGAACACCAAUGGCGAAGGCAAUCCCCUGGGCCUGUACUGACGCUCAUGCACGAAAGCGUGGGGAGCAAACAGG
This 253-nucleotide ribosomal RNA is filed under the name uncultured bacterium. RNAcentral's name for it is "partial 16S ribosomal RNA". It matches the Rfam family "Bacterial small subunit ribosomal RNA", at positions 524 to 776 of the family's 1533-position model. The record is from RNAcentral.